UACAGAGGUGGCAAGCGUUGUUCGGAAUUACUGGGCGUAAAGGGCGCGUAGGCGGUUCGUUAAGUCCUGUGUGAAAUCCCCCGGCUCAACUGGGGAACUGCACAGGAAACUAGCGGGCUUGAGUUCGGGAGAGGGAAGCGGAAUUCCGGGUGUAGCGGUGAAAUGCGUAGAUAUCCGGAGGAACACCGGUGGCGAAGGCGGCUUCCUGGACCGACACUGACGCUGAGGUGCGAAAGCCAGGGGAGCGAACGGG
This 253-nucleotide ribosomal RNA is filed under the name uncultured bacterium. Its description in RNAcentral is "partial 16S ribosomal RNA". It matches the Rfam family "Bacterial small subunit ribosomal RNA", at positions 524 to 776 of the family's 1533-position model. The record is from RNAcentral.